CAGGGACAUCGAGCGCCACAAUGUUUAGCUGCCCUACCUAAGCGCACGCCUCCAGUGGAGAAUACGCAACCUCAGACAAAGAAGCUGGGCCUAUCGCGCACUGCUCCAAUGACGAUUACGCGCAUUUGAACCGAGAACAACUUGUCGCCAUGUUAAACAGUUUGAAAGCAUAGGAAUUACCGGCCUCCUUUUCAGUCAGUAGUAUAGAAACUCAGGCUCAUUGCAGACCGUAUCUUAGUGCGUGGGUAGGAGGCCGGCCAUGCGAUAUGCUAAUUGAUACUGGCGCUUCUGUUUCUAUCACUGACCUACCGCUCCCUUGUACAAAGCAUUCCAUUGAUCUUGCUGGCAUUGGGGUAAUUCUGUCCGCGCAUAUAAAUCCUUUCCAGUACUUGUGGAAUCCAAUAAUGCUUAUUGGACACAAUCAUUUUUCAUUUGUAGGACUGCAGAAGGUACCAUCCUCGGUUCUGACGGCAUGAGAUUACUGAAAGCUACUGUUGCAUACUCGCCUAUGGCUUUAUCAGUUUGUGACGCUUCUCAUAAACGCAAGACAUUGCCAUUAGCUGCUCUUUCCCAUACUGCUAUAGCAUCUGUUGCAACACCUAUUGUCCAUUCCUGGGAUUUGACUAACAAGUUCCAAGCUUUAUGUGCAACAUUCUCUGCAUGCUGGUCUGUGCACAAACUGGAUUGUGGAGCUGCACCAUUACCACCACUUGAGGUAACAGGGACUAUGCCCUCACCUGUGAAACAAUACCCGAUUAAACCAGAAGCUGCUCAAGCAGUUGGCUCAAUCAUUCAGUCCUUGCUUUCACAGGAGGUCAUUGAGCCAUGUGUCUCACCCUGUAAUUCUCCUGUCUGGCCUGUGCAAAAACCAGAUGGCUCAUGGCGCCUGACAAUUGAUUACAGAACGGUUAAUGCUGCUGCAGACAAACUUGCUCCAAUUGUUUCUGACCCAAACACGCUGCUUGCUGAUAUCAAACCUAGUCACUGUAUAUUUUCUGUGAUAGACAUUGCCAAUGGAUUCUGGGCCCUGCCUGUUGCUGAAAACUCAAGAGCUUGGUUUGCCUUCACACACCAGAACACGCAAUACACAUGGAAACGCAUGCCUCAGGGCUUUCAUAACAGCCCUACGCUUUUCCAUCGCGCAAUGGCCAAGAUUCUAGCAACAGUUUCAUGGUCUCAGUAUGAAGGAACACAGUGCCUCCAAUAUGUUGAUGAUAUUCUCUUGGCUUCUUCUGACCCUGUCUCUCAUUUCCAGGCUCUGGAAGCUUUACUCAAAGCUUUGGAAAAAUACAAUAUGAAAGCAAGUCCAAAGAAGGCCCAAAUCGCACAAGACGCUGUCCAGUAUUUGGGCUUUACCAUAUCCCAGGGCUCGAAGCAACUCACUGUUGACCGGAGAACUGCUAUUGCCACUGCUCCGCGUCCCCGCACUGUCCGUGAUGUUCGUAAGAUUCUGGGACUUUUUAACUUCUGCAGGAACCACAUACCUGACUUUUCUGUUAUUGCAACACCAAUCAAUGCUCUUUUGAAGGGCUCCCAUCGCCCAUUGGAGACCGUUGAUUGGACAACCGAGUGUGAAGAUGCAUUCAGCACUCUCAAAUCUGCUCUCACUUCUGCCCCUGCUUUAGGUUUCCCUUGUUCUGACCUCCCGUUCUUUCUAUGGUCAGCUGUGAUACAAGGCCACAUGACAGCCGUUCUUACUCAGCCCCAUGGAGGCAUACAACGCCCCGUUGCUUACUAUUCUUCUCGCCUGGAUUCUGUCGCUUCUGGUCUUUCCCCUUGCUUACAGGAAGUGCAGGCUGCCGCCACAGCAGUAACGGUCUCCGCUGCACUAGUCUCAGGAGCUCCACUCUCUGUCAAUGUCUCUCAUGCUGUGCAUAACAUACUAACCCAAGGCCGUUUCUCUCGUGUUUCAGCAGCCAGGUGGACUAGAUGGGAAGCCAUCUUGUUAGCUCCGCUUAUCACACUCAUCCACUCCCCAGCUGUGAACCCAGCCACUCUCUUACCUGUCGAGGGAGACGGGGAGCCACAUGAGUGCCCAUUGUCUCCAGAUCACCCAUCCAAUUCAGACAUCUCUGAAACACCUCUUUCUGACAAUGAUUUCUCACUUUUUGUUGAUGGAUCUCGUUUUUACAAUGGGGCCCACCCAGUUACAGGAUAUGCAGUUGUUGACAUUGCUGGUCAGGUAAUGGUAUCAGGCCGCCUUCCAAGUUCAGAUUCAGCACAGGUGGCUGAACUUGUUGCCCUCACUCAUGCCUGUGAGUUGGGUUCUGGGAAACGACUUACUAUAUACACUGAUUCCAGGUAUGCAUUUGGUGUUGUCCAUGACUUUAUGGUUAACUGGUCAUCUCGGGGUUUCCUGACUUCAUCAGGUACCCCGAUAAAAAAUGGGGGGGUUGUUCAGAAUCUCAUAACUGCCUCUAAACUACCAAACAAACUAGCAGUUGUAAAAGUGAAAGCGCACACUAAAGGACAAGAUGCAAUCAGCUUGGGUAACCACUGGGCAGAUGAAGCUGCCAAAGCAGCAGCUUUAAAUGACUCCCUGCCUACUUACAAAAUUGCAGCUAUUGACAUGUCGGGUCCAACUAACAUUGACAUAGCUAAACUACAGGAUGCCUGUACAAGAGCUGAAAAAUGGACGUGGAUUGAAAAUGCAUGCACUCUUAAUGAUGACAACAUUUGGCACACACAGGACGGGAAAGUUGUUGCCCCUCAGAGCAUCCUUUCAUUGCUUUGUGAAGUAUACCAUGGCAUUGCACACAAUGGAGAAAGAACAAUGCGGCACAACAUGUCACUUCAUUGGUGGUCUCCCAAAAUGACCAAGGUAAUGAAAGAUUUCGUUAGGCGUUGCAUCAUUUGUGCAAAAAGCAAUCAAGGUCCAAAAAUAAAAGUAAUGAUGAAACACCAGCCACGGCCUACUGGACCCUUUCAGCAAAUCCAGAUGGAUUUCAUUGGCCCUCUUCCAAAGAGCCAUGGAAAAGAACACUGUCUCGUUCUCAUAGACCACUUCACACGCUGGGUAGAAGUUUACCCUGUAGCCUGUGCAAAUGCCGCAACCACGGCAAAAAUAAUCGCAUCUGAAUUCUGCCCACGCUGGGGCCUUCCCUGCUACAUAGACUCAGACCAAGGGACCCACUUCACCGGUAAAGUAAUGAAACAGACUCUGAAAGAUAAACAAAAGGAGGGGGGGCAAGAAUCGCAGACAUAUGAACCUGGACAAUGGGUUAUGAUAAGAGCCCCUCAUCCUAGAUCUUUCCAACCUCGAUGGCAAGGACCACACCAGGUCUUACUAACCUCUGAGACUGCUCUUCGAGUUACAGGCAUCCCGGUCUGGAUCCACCAAUCCCGGACCAAACCAUGCCCAUCACCCGAAGACCUCAAAAAGCCUGAAGAACUCCCUGCCACGGACGACUGCAGCCUUCACGAAUCAGGUGCAAACGUUCCAAUUUUUUCACAUACUCAACCAAAUUGAGCAUUCAAGUUAUGCUCCCAUCCAACAUGCUGAAUUCAUUUGUAAUUAUAAUCACAGUUUUGAGCCAUGGUGGAGUAAGUGCUGUGGACAAUAACAUUUACAUGCAAUUAGUUCACAUGACAGCCAAACAUGCAAAUAAGACUGGCUGCUAUGUCUGUGGAUUAAUACCACAUUCUGUCGCACUUGGUGUUCCAAUGAUGUCCGUACCUAUCGCCUCCAAGUAUAACACUGCAGAUAGCGAUAGCAAAAGUGAACUUGUUACCAGACCUAAACAUAUAUGUGAUCCUGAACCCAUUAACAUUGCUCUGUCUCUUGGCCCAUA
Long non-coding RNA from Anguilla rostrata (American eel), 3791 nucleotides. RefSeq lists it as uncharacterized. The transcript has 2 exons. Lineage: Eukaryota; Metazoa; Chordata; Actinopteri; Anguilliformes; Anguillidae. The record is from RefSeq and is a predicted model, not a curated record.